UAGUCUGUUGGUUUUUUAUAAUAGAUGUUUUCUGCCCGGUGUUGAGGAGUAAACGGCCGCGGUACUUUGACCGUGCAAAGGUAGCAUAAUCAUUUGUUCUUUAAUUGGGGACUGGAAUGAAGGAAAAGGGGCGAAACUAAAGCUGUCUCUUUUUUUGGUUUGGAAUUUGCUUUUUUUGUGAAGAAGCAAAGGUAAAAGAAAAAGACAAGAAGACCCUAUUAAGCUUGACUCUUUUUGUUUUGAGUUGUAGUUUUGUUUAAAUAUUUUUUUUAAAUGUUGAAUGUAGAGUUUGGUUGGGGCGACUGAAAAGGAUAAGAAAGCCUUUUUGCUUGUUUUUAAUUUUGGAUUUAAGAGUGACCCAGAAUUUUCUGGUUGAUGGAAUUAGUUACUGUAGGGAUAACAGCGUAAUUUUUUUGUAAAGUUCUUAUUGAAGAAAAAGUUUGCGACCUCGAUGUUGACUUUUUAUUUCCUUUGAAGGUGUAGGAGCUGGAAGGGUUAGUCUGUUCGACUAUUAAAAUAAA
This 521-nucleotide ribosomal RNA is filed under the name Lineidae sp. M HK-2021. Its description in RNAcentral is "partial 16S rRNA". It matches the Rfam family "Bacterial large subunit ribosomal RNA", at positions 1828 to 2597 of the family's 2925-position model. The record is from RNAcentral. Lineage: Eukaryota; Metazoa; Nemertea; Pilidiophora; Heteronemertea; Lineidae.